UACGUAGGGUGCGAGCGUUGUCCGGAAUUAUUGGGCGUAAAGAGCUUGUAGGCGGUUUGUCGCGUCUGCCGUGAAAAUCCGGGGCUCAACCCCGGACUUGCGGUGGGUACGGGCAGACUAGAGUGUGGUAGGGGAGACUGGAAUUCCUGGUGUAGCGGUGAAAUGCGCAGAUAUCAGGAGGAACACCGAUGGCGAAGGCAGGUCUCUGGGCCACUACUGACGCUGAGAAGCGAAAGCGUGGGGAGCAAACAGG
This 253-nucleotide ribosomal RNA is filed under the name uncultured bacterium. RNAcentral describes it as "partial 16S ribosomal RNA". It matches the Rfam family "Bacterial small subunit ribosomal RNA", at positions 524 to 776 of the family's 1533-position model. The record is from RNAcentral.